RNAcentral lists this ribosomal RNA (492 nucleotides) under uncultured bacterium. RNAcentral describes it as "partial 16S ribosomal RNA". It matches the Rfam family "Bacterial small subunit ribosomal RNA", at positions 29 to 507 of the family's 1533-position model. The record is from RNAcentral.
AGUGAACGCUGGCGGUAGGCCUAACACAUGCAAGUCGAACGGCAGCACAGUAAGAGCUUGCUCUUACGGGUGGCGAGUGGCGGACGGGUGAGGAAUACAUCGGAAUCUACUUUUUCGUGGGGGAUAACGUAGUGAAACUUACGCUAAUACCGCAUACGACCUACGGGUGAAAGCAGGGGAUCUUCGGACCUUGCGUGAUUGAAUGAGCCGAUGUCGGAUUAGCUAGUUGGCGGGGUAAAGGCCCACCAAGGCGACGAUCCGUAGCUGGUCUGAGAGGAUGAUCAGCCACACUGGAACUGAGACACGGUCCAGACUCCUACGGGAGGCAGCAGUGGGGAAUAUUGGACAAUGGGCGCAAGCCUGAUCCAGCCAUACCGCGUGGGUGAAGAAGGCCUUCGGGUUGUAAAGCCCUUUUGUUGGGAAAGAAAAGCAGCAGGUUAAUACCCCGCUGUUCUGACGGUACCCAAAGAAUAAGCACCGGCUAACUUCGUG